RNAcentral lists this ribosomal RNA (1317 nucleotides) under Triticum aestivum (bread wheat). RNAcentral's name for it is "partial small subunit ribosomal RNA". The record is from RNAcentral. Lineage: Eukaryota; Viridiplantae; Streptophyta; Magnoliopsida; Poales; Poaceae.
AUGUUCUUGACCGAACAAUACAAGGGCACCUUGUUGGUUGCGAUAGCAAGUGAUGCCAAUAAACGGGCAUUGCCAUUGGCAUUUUCUUUGGUUGAGGUGGAGAAUAAUGACAACUGGGAGUGGUUUUUGCAUCUUUUGAGGACGAAGGUGUUACCGGCUCAGAGAGAAAUUUGUGUCAUAUCGGAUCGACAUCCAGGAAUUCUUAACGCGAUGGAGAUUGAAAUUCCUAGGCAUGCUCCAUUGCACCAUCGAUGGUGCAUGAGGCACUUUUAUUCGAACUUCAAUAAGGCAUGUGGCCUUAAGGAGUUGGCCGAUGAUCUUCAAGAUUGUUGUCUCGCUUUCUCCGACAAGCGGUUCACCACUUUGUUCAACAAAUUGCUGGCGCACAAAAAACUUGAUCCCCGGGGUCAAGACUUUCUCAAUAGGCACAUUGAACACCGGAACAAGUGGGCACAUGCUUUUGAUGAAGAUGGCCAGAGAUACGGUCAAAUGACAAGCAAUAUGGCCGAAUGCUUCAAGAAGGUGCUCAAAGGUGCAUGUGGAUUACCCGUGACGGCAAUAGUUCAAUACACAUUUGACAAGAUGAAUGCGUACUUUCAAAAGUACUCGAUGGAAAUGGAUGCACAGAUAGCGGGUGAGAACAAGCGCAAGUACAAGUACAAGUUUCCACCCAAGGUUGAUGAAUGGUUGGAAUUUCAAUCACGGAAGGCGGACUCACAAGAAGCUAUACUAUAUGACAAUGAAGAGUGGAAGUACGAAGUGAAAGAUCCAGGAGGAACCACAAAUUAUGGCCGCCAACAUGGAGGUCGGGCUUUCAAGGUGUCCUUAACACGGUGUGGUUGCUCUUGCGGGAGUCCAUUGUUGCUUCAUCUACCAUGCUCAAACUUGUAUACCGCCGGUCAUGUUAGGAAGAUGGACGUCAAUCACCCCCUCACCGUGAGGGAGUCGGAGUUCUCAAUCAUGACAGCUAAGAAAACAUGGGCUCCCCGCUUUCACCCAUACUUUGACCAAUCACAAUGGCCGGAGUACCAUGGAGUUCAACUAUGGCCGGAUCUGGAGUUGAAGAUUGUUAAACAGGGUAGACAUAAGACAAAGCGUCUUAGAGGCGACAUGGAUAGAUGGGGUCAUGGUGGCCGCCACGAAGCGGGCAAUGACCAAUUCCAAGAGCCUCAUGAGAGCUCCCGUUGUGGGGAAUGCAAAGGUCAUGGCCACAACAAAAUAAAAUGUACGAAACCACAGAAAAGGUCCAAGAGAAAUGAUGCAAGCACAAGCCAACAAGGAGCUACACAAGGUAGCCGGCCAAGUGGUAGCCAAUAA